RNAcentral lists this ribosomal RNA (492 nucleotides) under uncultured bacterium. Its description in RNAcentral is "partial 16S ribosomal RNA". It matches the Rfam family "Bacterial small subunit ribosomal RNA", at positions 29 to 507 of the family's 1533-position model. The record is from RNAcentral.
AGUGAACGCUGGCGGUAGACCUAACACAUGCAAGUCGAACGGCAGCACAGUAAGAGCUUGCUCUUACGGGUGGCGAGUGGCGGACGGGUGAGGAAUACAUCGGAAUCUACUUUUUCGUGGGGGAUAACGUAGGGAAACUUACGCUAAUACCGCAUACGACCUACGGGUGAAAGCAGGGGAUCUUCGGACCUUGCGCGAUUGAAUGAGCCGAUGUCGGAUUAGCUAGUUGGCGGGGUAAAGGCCCACCAAGGCGACGAUCCGUAGCUGGUCUGAGAGGAUGAUCAGCCACACUGGAACUGAGACACGGUCCAGACUCCUACGGGAGGCAGCAGUGGGGAAUAUUGGACAAUGGGCGCAAGCCUGAUCCAGCCAUACCGCGUGGGUGAAGAAGGCCUUCGGGUUGUAAAGCUCUUUUGUUGGGAAAGAAAAGCAGCAGGUUAAUACCCCGCUGUUCUGACGGUACCCAAAGAAUAAGCACCGGCUAACUUCGUG